CGCAGGUGAGGGUCCCCUCGGGGCCCUGGUGGGUGUUGGGAGCUGCUGUUUGUCCCCCCCAGGAGGGAAGGACCUGGCGGGGUGUCCCUGGGGAUCUCCAGAGGGUGUCCAUUCCCCGGUGCUUUGGCCUUGGGGUCAUGGAAUCCCCUGAGUUGGGAGGGGCCCGCAGGGAUCGUCGGUCCAACCCCUGGCCCUGCAGACACCCCAGCAAUCCCCCCUGUGCAUCCCGGGAGCUGUUCCUGCAAACACGGGGGCAAAGAGCUGCUCGUGGAAGUCAAGCACUGGAGCUGCUUGGGAAGAGGUGCUGGGACAGGAGCUGAGCCCCUGUUUGUCCCCCAGCUGAGGGGACAGAGGCUGCCCUUGCGCUGCUCCUUGCAGGGCGUCACAGAUAUUAUUAGGAAGUCCCAGGGAAGCAGGACGUGGAGUUUGUGGUGUGAAACAUCAUCAUCAUCCUGAUGUUUUUUUGGCAAAGCUCCCCCUCCCCACACCAGGACUGCUGUGCCUCCCCGAGGAGUCAGACCUGCUCCCACCUCAGCCCGUGCCUGCCCUCAGCAAACAAACACCUGAUGGUGAAACCUUCUGCUUCUCCUGUUUGCUGGGAUUUCAGGCUCUCAAAAACUGGUUUGAAAACAUCAAUUAAGCUUCCUGUUGUCUGUUUUCAAGAUCAGCGGGGGAGGAAACUGAGGCACAGGCUGCAGGAUGGUUUUUUACAUGCCCGGCUGCUCCUCCCUCUGCUGCUGCUCUCUUGCCUGAGGUAGAGGUGAGGUGGGGUAAUGUAAUGCUGGUAGGUUUUGGUAGAUGGGAGUGGGGAUGUCACCUGGGCCUGCUAAAUGUGUCCCCUCCAUCCCAGGCUGUGGCUGAGACCCCAAGUCCUGCCUCCCCAGAACCACAGGGCUCCUUUGCACCCCCCAGCCCUGGGGUUUGGCCAGCUUUACCUGGUGCAGCAUGACUCUGGAUCAUCCCAGAGCACGUGGGGGCUGGAACACCCCUACACUGCCUCACCUGGGGGCAGGUUUCUCGCUGUGCUGCGUGUGACAGGACUGAAUCAUCACCCGUCCUUGGGAACAGCUAUGCAAGGAAUAUGUAUUUAUGCACAUAAAAGCAUAAAUGUCAGUGCCUGUGUCCCGGUUUUGGCUGGGAUAGAGUUAAUUUUCUUCCCAGUAGCCGGCCCAGUGCUGUGUUUUGGAUUUAGCAUGGGAAUAAUGUUGAUAACAACUGAUGUUGUAGCUGUGGCUGAGUUGUGCUUUCUCCAAAUCAAGGACUUACCAGUUUCCCAGGCUCUGCCAACGAGCAGGAGCACAAGGAGUUGGGUGGGAGCAUGGCCAGGAGAACUGACCUGGACUGGCCAGAGGGAUAUUCCAUUCCACGGAACAUCCUGCCCAGUACAGAAACUGGGGGGGUUGGGACCUGUCUCUCGCUGCUGUGGGACGAGCUGGGUCAGGGGGUGGUGAACAACUGUGUGGGGCAGCUCUGGUUUCUCUUGGGUUUUUACUCCUCUUUCUCUCCUUUUCAUUACUAUUAUUGUCAUCAUUACCAUUACUAUUAUUGUAAUUCUUCUUCAUCAUCCAAGAUUUGUUUUAAUCAGCUUUUAAUCAGUUCUUAUGUACCUGCCUGGGCUUUCAUUUCUCAUAAGACAUUGUGCCAAAACUCCACUUUGACCAAUGUUCCCGUGGGCUGGGAGACUGUUAGAACUUUGUCUUGCCAACAGCAUCUCUGCAGGGAAUUCAACAAUGCUCUGAGUUUCCCCAGGCUGAGCUGGGUCUCCCUGCUGGCAGAAUCCACAUUGUUCCCUCCCAGCAUGGGGCACUUCCCAGAUGGGAGAACAGUGUUUUCAAUCAGAGCUGGAACUCCAAAGAAAAGAAGUGCCUGAAACAGUCCAAAAGGGAGGAAAAUAAAACUCAUCACUGCAGUUACCACCAACGUUCUUUUUUCUGUCAGUCUGUGGACACCUGAUGCUCCCAGGUCUUUAUCUCACUGACACUGAGUUCUGAGUAGUGUUCUUGUUUUAGAAGAGGGAACUUUAGGCAUAAGUAAUUUAACCUCUAAUGAAAUCAAUGUUCCACUACUAGAAUGAUCUAGAAUUGAACCUUAUUUUAAGUGAUUUUGGGGUCCAGCUGCAGAGUGUGUAGGAUGACGUUCGGUGUUUGCAGCCUGGGGAUUCACUGCAUGAGUCAAAGUUUCUAUAGAAAGUGGGGGCUGCUUCUUUUCUGCCCCUGAUGGUUCCAGGGACAUUUUCUUCCUCAGAACUGGCCAGAGCCUUUUCUGUGAACAGUCGGUGUGUUACAGUAACCGUGUUCACCUGCUAUGAUGGGAAUUGUGCAGGGAGAAGGACCUGUGGGAAUGACAUGCACGGAGAUGUGUGUGGUUCUUAAAGGGGCAUGAGAUGGGACCCUAAUGGGGGUCUCUGGUGAGCCCCACCUGCAGAGCUGCCUCCAGCCCUGGGAAUUCCAAUGUCAGAAGGACGUGGAGCUGCUGGAGCCAGUCCAGAGGAGGCCCCGGAGCUGCUGCAGGGCUGGAGCCCCUCUGCUCUGGAGCCAGGCUGGGAGAGCUGAGGGUGUUCACCUGGAGAAGGCUCUGGGGAGACCUGAGAGCCCCUUGCAGGGCCUAAAGGGGCUCCAGGAGAGCUGGAGAGGGACUGGGGACAGGGGAUGGAGGGACAAAGACACAGGGAAUGGCUUCCCACUGCCAGAGGGCAGGGCUGGAUGGGAUAUCGGGAAGGAAUUCCUCCCUGCCAGGUCUGUAACAUCCGAGAACCCUCUCGGGCGGCAGGAAGUGCUGUGGUAGGUUAACGUUAAUUCUCCAGCGCAUCUACAAAGGCAAGAAAUGACUUUCUGUGAAGGCAGAGCCUUCGGCCCUGGGAGGAAAUGAAGCCUGGCUGCUGCAGGCCGCGGGUCAGAGCCGUGGCCUGUGUGCCCCGACACGCCCCAGACCUUUGGCUCUGAGCUAAUCCAGGCCGCUGGCUUCCAGCCUGUGAUCCGUGCCUUAUCAGUGGGGUCCAUGGCGGAUCCUAGGAAGGGAGUGGAACACGGAGAGGCGCUGCCUGGCGCGUCCUCUCCGGCAGCCGGCAAACCCGGGGGCGGGAGGGCACCACAUCCCGCUGGUUUGCUAUGUUCUAGCGCAGAGGUGAGCGCUGUGGGGAAGGGGAAGGGGAACACGGGAAACAGGGGUUUGCCGUGGCCUCCCGCGCGCCUCGUGCUCCUUUGUCCGCGGGGCCGGGCGGGCGCAGCCUCGGCGGGGCUGUUCCGGCCGCGCUGAGCGCCGCCAUUCCCGCAGCCCCCACACACGCCAGUCCGCGGCCUUUCAUCCUUCUCUUCGAGCAGACUUCUCUCAGGGGCCUCUUGGCCACGCUUUCCCCCAUCCAAUGGUUGCUCUAAGCAAAUAUUAUCGUUUUUAAUUUCCUCAUAGCAUCAGCGGUCUUGGGGACAAACAUCCUCCCAGAACAGCCCUUUCUGCCAGCUCACGCGGCCACACCGUGGCCCUGCCGUGUCACCCAGGCCACGUUGUCACCAGUGGGGCCCUGCACAAGCCCCACAAGCCCCCCUGGAGCUAACGGCCUGGGGAGUUAGAGCCCUUUUGCGGAUUAUUUGGUUUAUUCGGCUUAUUCUGUUUAUUCGAAUUUGGUUAUUCGGUUUAUUCGCAUCAUUCGGAUUAUUCGGUUUAUUCGCAUCAGGGUAGGCCCUGGAGCCCCCCAGGGGGACAAGACACCUCGGGGAAGGGUGGCUGUCAGAGGGGGGUCAUUGGAGUCUCCUCUCCCUCUGGGGCUCACCGUCCUAUUGUUUUAGGACAAUAACCGGCACCGUGCCU
This 3804-nucleotide long non-coding RNA is filed under the name Corvus moneduloides (New Caledonian crow). RNAcentral's name for it is "lncRNA (ENSCMUG00000018561.1)". The record is from RNAcentral. Lineage: Eukaryota; Metazoa; Chordata; Aves; Passeriformes; Corvidae.